AGCUAAUCCCCAGACCUAGUCAUAAGAAGAUACACCUGCAGUGACCAGAGCCGUUUAGAGGUUAACAUACAUGUCUAAUGAGAACUUAUUGAGAUUACGUCUCAAAAGAAGAAGUCGUAUUCAGUAAAAGGAUGGGAAACGCUUAGCUACAGUCACACAGAGGAGACGUUUUUCUUCUUCCAAAUAUAAAACCAAGAUAUCAGGAAGGGAGGCAUGGGCUGAAAGGACCAGAUUAUCUGUAACAAUGUUUUGUCAGCAUGGAAGAAGACGCAAUUCAGUACAACAAAAUCAAAUCUAGUAGAAGUCUUCCAGAAAAGCUGCAGCAAAAGGCACAACUCAGCACAGUGUUACUUUCCCUGCCAAUUGCCCAUCACCCUCUUCAGACACUCACUUAACCUGCUAUAGGGUUCUCUGGAACUGAAGUGUUUUGCAUAGCACUACAAAAUGCUAAGAAUCCUCCGACUUAAAAGGAUCAAAAAUUAGUAUU
Molecule: long non-coding RNA, 487 nt
Organism: Mauremys mutica (yellowpond turtle)
Lineage: Eukaryota; Metazoa; Chordata; Testudines; Geoemydidae
Exons: 3
Source: RefSeq, a predicted model, not a curated record